AUACUUAUCUGGCAGGGGAGAUACCAUGAUCAUGGGGGUGGUUUUCCCGGGGGGAGGCUCAUCUAUUGCACUGUGGGUGUGUUAACUCCUGCGAUUUCCCUAAAUGUGGGGAACUCCACUGCAUAAUUUGUGGUAGUGGGGGACUGCGUCUGUGCUCUCUCCUG
This is a small nuclear RNA of Gopherus evgoodei (Goodes thornscrub tortoise), 164 nucleotides long. Its record names the gene U1. It matches the Rfam family "U1 spliceosomal RNA". From Rfam's summary of the family: U1 is a small nuclear RNA (snRNA) component of the spliceosome (involved in pre-mRNA splicing). Lineage: Eukaryota; Metazoa; Chordata; Testudines; Testudinidae. The record is from Ensembl.